Molecule: non-coding RNA, 2814 nt
Organism: Oncorhynchus mykiss (rainbow trout)
Lineage: Eukaryota; Metazoa; Chordata; Actinopteri; Salmoniformes; Salmonidae
Source: the annotation of a RefSeq genome assembly
GAUUUAAUUAUUGACACAUAACUAGUGACUAUUUAGGUUAUUUUGACUGAUUUUGUACGAAGUAUUGGUCAGACCAUUCACUGUGACAACUACUUUGACUACUGGGGGAAAGGGACCAUGGUGACCGUGUCCACAGCCUCAUCAACUGCUCCGACUUUGUUCCCUCUUGCGCAAUGUGGCUCCGGGACCGGAGAUAUGAUGACUCUGGGUUGCAUUGCCACUGGCUUCACGCCUGCCUCCCUCACCUUCAAAUGGAAUGACGAAGGCGGGAAUUCCCUGACUGAUUUCGUUCAGUACCCUGCGGUCCAAACCGGUGGAAGCUACAUGGGAGUCAGUCAACUCCGUGUAAAGAGAGCAGACUGGGACAGUAAAAAAUUUGAAUGCGCCGUGGAACAUUCUGCUGGAUCAAAGAAAGUACCAGUGAAAAAACAACUGCAGCGGGUCAUUCCUCCAAAUAUCACACUGUAUCCUCUCUGGGAGGAACUGAAGGUGGGAUCAAAGGUGGGAAUCCUCUGCAUCCUGAGUGGGUUCUACCCUGACAAGCUGAGUGUGGAGUGGCUGCUGGAUGACAAGACUGUGACCACAUCUCCAGUCCAGCGGAAGCUGCAGAGUGUAGAAGGUGAGGAGAAAACAUUCAGCCUGAACAGCCAGCUGGAGCUGGACCGGAGCCAAUGGACUCAAGGGUCAGAGGUCACAUGCAAGGCAACCCACAAUGCAGCACAAGGACCACCUACAGGAACACCAGUCUCCAGGACCAUCAGCAUUUGCUCAGCGUUUCUCUCGUCUACUCCAUCCAUCAACUUGGAGACCCCCAGAUUCAGGAUAGUGAUGACACAGACUGAGGUAACAGCUACAUGUGUUGUCCACUCUGCGUAUGAUGCCAAAGUGUCCUGGCUUCUGGAUGGAAAAGACCCAACCAGUAGGACCCCAGUGAACCAGGCCAGCAGGACAACUCAGAGCGUCAGCAGUAACCUGACUCUUCCCUCAAGCCAAUGGAAAACCCUGAACACAAUAACAUGCAGAGCUGAACAUCGCUGCUUCAACUCCACAGAGAAGACCAGUAAUGUUAAAGGACCUGCAGUGAACAGCACUACCACAGUGCUGAUCAGGAGGUCUCUCCCAGAGUUACUGAAGGGAGACAGUGCUGUGCUGGAGUGUGCCAUCACACAACUCUCCUCCAGUGACCUCUACGUCACCUUUCAGGCCAAUGGGGUUGAUUUCCCUGAGAAACAGUAUGUGGAUGUGCCUGCAUCCAAAGGCCCCCAUUUGCUCACCAGACGGUUCUCUAUCCCCAAAUCACACUGGAAGACAGACAACACUUUCACCUGUAAAGUUAACCAAGGUUUCUCCAACAGCUUGGUGUCUAGCUCCAAAGUCAAGCUUUUUGGUGAACUGUCCAUGGAACUCCUUCUAGUCCCCAGUGAGGAGUCGUCUGGCUCAGGGACCCAGAAACUCAUGUGUUCUGGGUGGGGCUUCAACCCUAAGAUCAAGUGGCUCUCUGGGUCUGAACAGAGGUCUGCAGCAGACAAUGAGAUAAGGAUGGGGGAAGAUGGACAUGUGGCACUAACCAGUCAUAUCACAGUAACACAGCAGGAGUGGAAUGAGGGAAAGGACUUCAUCUGUGAGGUAGAUGACAAAGAUCUUCAGAAAACUGUCAGGAAGAGCACCAGUUUAUGCACAGCUUUUCCCUCGUUUACUCCAUCCAUCGACUUGGAGACCCCCAGAUUCAGGACAGUGAUGACACAGACUGAGGUAACAGCUACAUGUGUGGUCCACUCUGCAUAUGACGCCAAAGUGUCCUGGCUUCUGGAUGGAAAAGACCCAACCAGCCGAACCCCAGUGAACCAGGCCAGCAGCACAACUCAGAGCAUCAGCAGUAACCUGACUCUUCCCUCAAGUCAAUGGAAAACCCUGAACACAAUAACAUGCAGAGCUGAACAUCGCUGCUUCAACUCCACAGAGAAGACCAGUAAUGUUAAAGGCUCAGUGACCCCCUCCGCACCUAGAGCAACCCUGCUCCAGGGUCCCAGUGAGCUUGUCUGCCUGGUGCUUGGCUUCAGCCCUUCAGACAUCAACAUCACCUGGCUGCUGGACAACGUCACAGAGCUGUGGAACAACAACACUAGCACCCCCUACAGGGCACCAGGAGGAAAGUUCGGCAUCAGGAGCCACCUGAGCCUGGCACACCAGGAUUGGACACCGGGGGCUGUUUACACCUGCAGGGUGACCCACACCACCCAGACUCUGGCCCUGAACAUAUCCAAACCAGAGCUCCUUGAGCUGGAGGGUGUGUUCUUUGACGAGAACAGGUCUGAUCCAAUCCUGGCGGACACUGCAGAGGAGAACUGGAACAUGGCCUGCAUCUUCCUGGUCCUCUUCCUCAUCUCUCUCCUCUACAGCUUCACAGUCACUCUGAUCAAGACAAAAUGAUGACUUCAGGACACUUCCAUAUGAUGGAUCCCUCAGAGUUCAACUGGAAAUGAAUUUAAAUGAAAUGAUUUAUUUCAACCUUUUCUUAUCAAAUCACAACACGUUUCUUAAGAAAAUUGCAUAGAUUUAAUUACUUACGAUUUCAUGUUGCAGGUUUGAUGACAGGGUAGUGUUAUUGUUUUUAUUCCCCACAAAGACAGACAAUGUGGAGGUGCGCUUACUUGCUCUCAUCUCUUGUUAAUGCGUUAUAGAAUUUUUGAGCAGAGAUAAAAAUGGAUGUUUAACCUCUAUUAAAUAAAGCAUGCCAUUACUCUCUAUGAUGAAGUAUUUAGACACCAGUCAUUGCUGAAUUAUCUGCUGAUAAUAAAACAUUAUUUCAAACAA